Molecule: transfer RNA, 20 nt
Filed under: Ulmus glabra
Lineage: Eukaryota; Viridiplantae; Streptophyta; Magnoliopsida; Rosales; Ulmaceae
Description: partial tRNA-Leu
Source: RNAcentral
GAAAAUCCGUCGACUUUAGA